Molecule: ribosomal RNA, 468 nt
Filed under: uncultured bacterium
Lineage: Bacteria
Description: partial 16S ribosomal RNA
Rfam family: Bacterial small subunit ribosomal RNA
Source: RNAcentral
GACGAACGCUGGCGGCGUGCUUAACACAUGCAAGUCGAACGGAAAGGCCCUGCUUUUGUGGGGUGCUCGAGUGGCGAACGGGUGAGUAACACGUGAGUAACCUGCCCUUGACUUUGGGAUAACUUCAGGGAACUGGGGCUAAUACCGGAUAGGAGCUCCUGCUGCAUGGUGGGGGUUGGAAAGUUUCGGCGGUUGGGGAUGGACUCGCGGCUUAUCAGCUUGUUGGUGGGGUAGUGGCUUACCAAGGCUUUGACGGGUAGCCGGCCUGGGAGGGUGACCGGCGACAUGGGGACUGAGAGACGGCGCAGACUCCUACGGGAGGCAGCAGUGGGGAAUAUGGCGCAAUGGGCGGAAGCCUGAUGCAGCAACGCCGCGUGCGGGAUGACGGCCUUCGGGGUGUAAACCGCUUUCUCCGGUGACGAAGCGUGAGUGACGGUAAUGGGUAAAGAAGCACCGGCUAACUACGUG